UACGUAGGGGGCAAGCGUUGUCCGGAAUUAUUGGGCGUAAAGCGCACGUAGGCGGUUCGUUAAGUCAGAUGUGAAAGCCCCCGGCUCAACCGGGGAAGUGCAUCUGAAACUGGCGAGCUAGAGUACGAAAGAGGGUCGCGGAAUUCCCGGUGUAGAGGUGAAAUUCGUAGAUAUCGGGAGGAACACCGGUGGCGAAGGCGGCGACCUGGGUCGAUACUGACGCUGAGGUGCGAAAGCGUGGGGAGCAAACAGG
RNAcentral lists this ribosomal RNA (253 nucleotides) under uncultured bacterium. RNAcentral's name for it is "partial 16S ribosomal RNA". It matches the Rfam family "Bacterial small subunit ribosomal RNA", at positions 524 to 776 of the family's 1533-position model. The record is from RNAcentral.